GAACGCACAUUGCGCCUCAGAGUAUUCUUUGAGGCAUACCUGUUCGAGCGUCGUUUAGACCAUAAGGCUUUGCCUUGCGUUGAUUUAUUGGAGUGAUCCAAUAAUCUAAACUUGUUGGCGUCGUAGUUUGACCAAGACACAGCACAAUGUGACACUAGUUGAAAUAAUGACUGCCCGUUCCUAAACUGUUUCUCACGAAACGUAGGUUCGACCUCGGAUCAGGUAAGACUACCCGCUGAACUUAAG
RNAcentral lists this unclassified non-coding RNA (246 nucleotides) under uncultured fungus. Its description in RNAcentral is "sequence contains 5.8S rRNA gene". The record is from RNAcentral. Lineage: Eukaryota; Fungi.